AUUGAACGCUGGCGGCAGGCCUAACACAUGCAAGUCGAGCGAACCUAGCUUGCUAGGUGAGCGGCGAACGGGUGAGUAACGCGUAGGAAUCUGCCUGGUAGUGGGGGACAACGUCUCGAAAGGGACGCUAAUACCGCAUACGCCCUACGGGGGAAAGGGGGGAGUCUUCGGACCUCUCGCUAUCAGAUGAGCCUGCGUCGGAUUAGCUAGUUGGUGAGGUAAAGGCUCACCAAGGCGACGAUCCGUAGCUGGUCUGAGAGGAUGAUCAGC
Molecule: ribosomal RNA, 270 nt
Filed under: uncultured bacterium
Lineage: Bacteria
Description: partial 16S ribosomal RNA
Rfam family: Bacterial small subunit ribosomal RNA
Source: RNAcentral